This 469-nucleotide ribosomal RNA is filed under the name uncultured bacterium. RNAcentral describes it as "partial 16S ribosomal RNA". It matches the Rfam family "Bacterial small subunit ribosomal RNA", at positions 28 to 508 of the family's 1533-position model. The record is from RNAcentral.
GACGAACGCUGGCGGCGUGCUUAACACAUGCAAGUCGAACGGAAAGGCCCUGCUUUUGUGGGGUGCUCGAGUGGCGAACGGGUGAGUAACACGUGAGUAACCUGCCCUUGACUUUGGGAUAACUUCAGGAAACUGGGGCUAAUACCGGAUAGGAGCUCCUGCUGCAUGGUGGGGGUUGGAAAGUUUCGGCGGUUGGGGAUGGACUCGCGGCUUAUCAGCUUGUUGGUGGGGUAGUGGCUUACCAAGGCUUUGACGGGUAGCCGGCCUGAGAGGGUGACCGGCCACAUUGGGACUGGGAUACGGCCCAGACUCCUACGGGAGGCAGCAGUGGGGAAUAUUGCACAAUGGGCGGAAGCCUGAUGCAGCAACGCCGCGGGCGGGAUGACGGCCUUCGGGUUGUAAACCGCUUUCGCCUGUGACGAAGCGUGAGUGACGGUAAGGGGUAAAGAAGCACCGGCUAACUACGUGC